Molecule: unclassified non-coding RNA, 348 nt
Filed under: soil metagenome
Description: partial contains 5.8S ribosomal RNA, internal transcribed spacer 2, and large subunit ribosomal RNA
Rfam family: 5.8S ribosomal RNA (bases 1-120)
Source: RNAcentral
GAUGAAGAACGUAGCGAAAUGCGAUAAGUAAUGUGAAUUGCAGAAUUCAGUGAAUCAUCGAAUCUUUGAACGCUCAUUGCGCCCGCCAGUAUUCUGGCGGGCAUGCCUGUCCGAGCGUCAUUUCAACCCUCGAACCCCUCCGGGGGGUCGGCGUUGGGGAUCGGCACUUACCUGCCGGCCCCGAAAUACAGUGGCGGUCUCGCCGCAGCCUCUCCUGCGCAGUAGUUUGCACACUCGCACCGGGAGCGCGGCGCGUCCACGGCCGUAAAACAACCCAAACUUCUGAAAUGUUGACCUCGGAUCAGGUAGGAAUACCCGCUGAACUUAAGCAUAUCAAUAAGCGGAGGA